RNAcentral lists this ribosomal RNA (468 nucleotides) under uncultured bacterium. Its description in RNAcentral is "partial 16S ribosomal RNA". It matches the Rfam family "Bacterial small subunit ribosomal RNA", at positions 28 to 507 of the family's 1533-position model. The record is from RNAcentral.
GACGAACGCUGGCGGCGUGCUUAACACAUGCAAGUCGAACGGAAAGGCACUGCUUUUGUGGGGUGCUCGAGUGGCGAACGGGUGAGUAACACGUGAGUAACCUGCCCUUGACUUUGGGAUAACUUCAGGAAACUGGGGCUAAUAUCGGAUAGGAGCUCCUGCUGCAUGGUGGGGGUUGGAAAGUUUCGGCGGUAGGGGAUGGACUCGCGGCUUAUCAGCUUGUUGGUGGGGUAGUGGCUUACCAAGGCUUUGACGGGUAGCCGGCCUGGGAGGGUGACCGGCCACAUUGGGACUGAGAUACGGCCCAGACUCCUACGGGAGGCAACGGUGGGGAAUCUUACACAAUGGGCGGAAGCCUGAUGCAGCAACGCCGCGUGCGGGAUGCCGGCUUUCUGGUUGUAAACCGCUUUCGCCUGUGACGAAGCGUGAGUGACGGUAAUGGGUAAAGAAGCACCGGCUAACUACGUG